CCAGUAAGGGGCGGGGCCGGCAUCGUUUGGGCAAAGUCCCCGGAUGUGUUGCUCUCAUGAUUGAACAGGUGACCACAGUGCGUGUCGUCGGAGAUGAGAGCGGCAGAUUCCAAGUUCUCUGAACUGUGGAACAAAGUUUAUGUUUAAUUUAACUUUGUUAUGAUCCUGCUGUCCUUGUAUUGAUAUCCAACAGAGUUUGGGAACGAUUGAGGAGGAAACAGGAAGUGUUUGUCCACCACUUCAUAUACCAGAAUGCUGAACAAAGGCCGGCUGAGGUUACUGAGGUGGGAGACGGUUUUUCACUGAGCUGCUGCCCUGUGUUAAAGAAUUAUGUUAUGUGUUGGAAGUAGGAGCCUGGCUCAUGAAGACCUACAGGUAGGUUAUCCAGUUAGUGUUGUUACUUAGGCCUGUGUG
Non-coding RNA from Labrus bergylta (ballan wrasse), 414 nucleotides. Lineage: Eukaryota; Metazoa; Chordata; Actinopteri; Labriformes; Labridae. The record is from RefSeq and is a predicted model, not a curated record.